Long non-coding RNA from Scatophagus argus, 1232 nucleotides. RefSeq lists it as uncharacterized. The record is from RefSeq and is a predicted model, not a curated record. Lineage: Eukaryota; Metazoa; Chordata; Actinopteri; Scatophagidae. The transcript has 2 exons.
UUCUCAACUGCAACAAGGAAAACAGCAACACGCGUUUGUCAGCAAAAUUUACACAUUAGUACAAAAAUGGAAAAUGCAAUUCUACCCUCAAAGAAAAAUAUCUGAGCACAAUGUUGUAAACAUAUUCAUAUGCAUUGCAUCAGGCCCUUUGAAAACAAAUGCAAACGUCCUCAGCACAAACAUGACAAGCUUAAAGGAAUACACUGAAAGCCGAGGCCUUGAAUUACACUGCAUAAAGAUGGAGUUUUACUACUACUGGUAAAGUGUCACAAUUGGCUUUUACCUAGCGUUAACUGAACUGUAUCAUAUCGUCAAACAUUGUAGGGGGAUGUAUUUUCUGAGCAAGGCCUCAAGUUAUUACAAAUUAAAUGAAGUGUGAUUUGACGCCCUCUUCACCAGCAAGACGGGACAAUGUAGAGAGCUAAAACAUAAUGCUACCCCAACAGACUGUCACACAUUGUAACAAAACAAGGCCAAAGUUGGACAGCUGUCCAAACACUGCGUUCAUCUAGCUAACCGAUCUACGCAGGUGGCCGUUGUUAGCUUACCAAGCAACGGUAUCGCACCACUAUUCAAAAUAGCUAACUUUUAACAAAGUUAGCUUUAGUUCGGAAUACUAAGGUAUUCCAACUCCUAUCGCAAAUUGCAUUUAGAUGUUUAUCGUUAACGUAAAUACCGUCUUGACAGCUCAUUAAAGAUACCUUUCGCGCUGAAUGGCUGUCGCUACAACGGUAGCUAACGUUAGCGUUGGCUGCUACUGCUAACAGGGCUAGAGUCAGUCCGUUUGAACUGCAGGGUGCAAGUCUCUCAAAUCGCCUCCCGAUGCCCAACACGCUCGGUUUCCCGUGGCUCUGUCGGAUGUUUCCUCUGUCACAAGUCAGUGACCUUAUUCUCCACGGCAGCCGCGAUCUGCUGCAGUCUGUAGCCGAGCUGCAUUUUCUGGGCUGUGGUGUCCUCCUCCAGCGCUGUGAUGAUCUAAUGAGGAGAAGAAGAAGAUGGCACAGAAAUGGAUGGAUGGAGAGAGGAAUGAUGAGGAAGAGACAAACACAAAUAUAUUUAUCAAGUAUCAAGUAGUUUCUCCUUUGAAUGUGUUCUUUGUCUGGUUUGCCUUAUCCAAGCGGAGGACUAAGAAUACAGGGUACUGUAUGUUGCAAAGGUUUCUGAGACAAGAAUGUGAUUUGUGACUGUGGGCUACAUAAAUAAAACUGACUAUACUGUCUGAAUGUCAGUCA